GUACUUACCCCGCAGCGGAGACACCGUGACCUGGAAGCUGGUUUUCCCAGGGCGGGCUUAUCCAUUGCUCUCCCAUUGACUACCCUGGAUGUGGGAAACUCGACUGCAGAAUUUUUGGUGGUGGGGGACUGCAUUCACGCUCUCCCCUA
Molecule: small nuclear RNA, 149 nt
Filed under: Sorex araneus (European shrew)
Lineage: Eukaryota; Metazoa; Chordata; Mammalia; Eulipotyphla; Soricidae
Description: U1 spliceosomal RNA (ENSSARG00000015625.1)
Rfam family: U1 spliceosomal RNA
About the family: U1 is a small nuclear RNA (snRNA) component of the spliceosome (involved in pre-mRNA splicing).
Source: RNAcentral